Molecule: small nuclear RNA, 375 nt
Filed under: Myotis lucifugus (little brown bat)
Lineage: Eukaryota; Metazoa; Chordata; Mammalia; Chiroptera; Vespertilionidae
Description: 7SK RNA
Rfam family: 7SK RNA (bases 1-288)
About the family: 7SK was discovered as an abundant small nuclear RNA in the mid-70s but a possible function has only recently been suggested. Two independent studies have found that 7SK RNA binds the CDK9/cyclin T complex (known as elongation factor P-TEFb).
Source: Rfam by way of RNAcentral
GGAUGUGAGGGCGAUCUGGCUGCGACAUCUGUCACCCCAUUGAUCGCCAGGGUUGAUUCGGCUGAUCUGGCUGGCUAGGCGGGUGUCCCCCUCCUCCCUCACCGAUCCAUGUGCCAUGUGCGUCCCUCCCGAAGCUGCGCGCUAGGUCAAAGAGGACGACCUUCCCCCCCCAGGAGAGGACCAGUCUUCGGUCAAGGGUAUACGAGUAGCUGCGCUCCCCUGCUAAAACCUCCAAACAAGCUCUCAAGAAUGGCCCUGACUGGUUUGGCUCAGUGGAUAGAGCUUUGGCCUGUGGACUGAAGGGUCCUGGGUUCGAUUCCGGCUGGGGGCACAUGCCUGGGCUGUGGGCUCAAUCCCUGGUGUGGGGCAUAUGGG